UGAUGUGAUGAAAGCCGGACUCGAGAC
Molecule: non-coding RNA, 27 nt
Filed under: Homo sapiens (human)
Lineage: Eukaryota; Metazoa; Chordata; Mammalia; Primates; Hominidae
Source: RNAcentral